GACGAACGCUGGCGGCGUGCUUAACACAUGCAAGUCGAACGAAGUGGCGAACGGGUGAGUAACGCGUAAUCAACCUGCCCUUCAGAGGGGGACAACAGUUGGAAACGACUGCUAAUACCGCAUACUGUAGGAGGGGAUUGCGUCGGAUUAGAUAGUUGGAGGGGUAACGGCCCACCAAGGCGAUGAUCAGUAGCCGGUCUGAGAGGAUGAACGGCCACAGUGGGACUGAGACACGGCCCAGACUCCUACGGGAGGCAGCAGUGGGGAAUCGUCCGCAAUGGAGGAAAGUCUGACUGAGCAACGCCGCGUGAGUGAUGACGGCCUUCGGGUUGUAAAGCUCUGUUAAUCGGGACGCGGUACCGGAAUAGAAAGCGACGGCUAACUACGUGCCAGCAGCCGCGGUAAUAC
RNAcentral lists this ribosomal RNA (408 nucleotides) under uncultured bacterium. RNAcentral describes it as "partial 16S ribosomal RNA". It matches the Rfam family "Bacterial small subunit ribosomal RNA", at positions 28 to 526 of the family's 1533-position model. The record is from RNAcentral.